This 264-nucleotide ribosomal RNA is filed under the name uncultured bacterium. Its description in RNAcentral is "partial 16S ribosomal RNA". It matches the Rfam family "Bacterial small subunit ribosomal RNA", at positions 793 to 1055 of the family's 1533-position model. The record is from RNAcentral.
GUCCACGCCGUAAACGAUGGGUGCUAGGUGUGGGGGGUGUCGACUCCCCCUGUGCCGAAGCUAACGCAUUAAGCACCACGCCUGGGGGAGUACGGCCGCAAGGCUAAAACUCAAAGGAAUUGACGGGGGCCCGCACAAGCAGCGGAGCAUGUGGUUUAAUUCGACGCAACGCGAAGAACCUUACCAAGGCUUGAAAUGCUCGGGAAAGCCGGAGAAAUUCGGCCCUCCUUCGGGACUCGAGUACAGGUGGUGCAUGGCUGUCGU